Molecule: ribosomal RNA, 253 nt
Filed under: uncultured bacterium
Lineage: Bacteria
Description: partial 16S ribosomal RNA
Rfam family: Bacterial small subunit ribosomal RNA
Source: RNAcentral
UACGUAGGGGGCUAGCGUUGUCCGGAAUCAUUGGGCGUAAAGCGCGUGUAGGCGGUCCGGUAAGUCCGCUGUGAAAGUCGGGGGCUCAACCCUCGGAUGCCGGUGGAUACUGUCGGGCUUGAGUACGGAAGAGGCGAGUGGAAUUCCUGGGGUAGCGGUGAAAUGCGCAGAUAUCAGGAGGAACACCAAUUGCGAAGGCAGCUCGCUGGGACGUUACUGACGCUGAGACGCGAAAGCGUGGGGAGCAAACAGG